UACGUAGGGGGCAAGCGUUGUCCGGAAUCAUUGGGCGUAAAGCGCGUGUAGGCGGCCCGGUAAGUCCGCUGUAAAAGUCCAGGGCUCAACCCUGGAAGGCCGGUGGAUACUGUCGGGCUCGAGUCCGGAAGAGGCGAGUGGAAUUCCUGGUGUAGCGGUGAAAUGCGCAGAUAUCAGGAGGAACACCAAUGGCGAAGGCAGCUCGCUGGGACGGUACUGACGCUGAGACGCGAAAGCGUGGGGAGCAAACAGG
RNAcentral lists this ribosomal RNA (253 nucleotides) under uncultured bacterium. RNAcentral's name for it is "partial 16S ribosomal RNA". It matches the Rfam family "Bacterial small subunit ribosomal RNA", at positions 524 to 776 of the family's 1533-position model. The record is from RNAcentral.